Molecule: ribosomal RNA, 535 nt
Filed under: Escherichia coli
Lineage: Bacteria; Pseudomonadati; Pseudomonadota; Gammaproteobacteria; Enterobacterales; Enterobacteriaceae
Description: partial 23S ribosomal RNA
Rfam family: Bacterial large subunit ribosomal RNA
Source: RNAcentral
GGGUUGUGAGGUUAAGCGACUAAGCGUACACGGUGGAUGCCCUGGCAGUCAGAGGCGAUGAAGGACGUGCUAAUCUGCGAUAAGCGUCGGUAAGGUGAUAUGAACCGUUAUAACCGGCGAUUUCCGAAUGGGGAAACCCAGUGUGAUCCGUCACACUAUCAUUAACUGAAUCCAUAGGUUAAUGAGGCGAACCGGGGGAACUGAAACAUCUAAGUACCCCGAGGAAAAGAAAUCAACCGAGAUUCCCCCAGUAGCGGCGAGCGAACGGGGAGGAGCCCAGAGCCUGAAUCAGUAUGUGUGUUAGUGGAAGCGUCUGGAAAGGCGUGCGAUACAGGGUGACAGCCCCGUACACAAAAAUGCACAUGCUGUGAGCUCGAUGAGUAGGGCGGGACACGUGGUAUCCUGUCUGAAUAUGGGGGGACCAUCCUCCAAGGCUAAAUACUCCUGACUGACCGAUAGUGAACCAGUACCGUGAGGGAAAGGCGAAAAGAACCCCGGCGAGGGGAGUGAAAAAGAACCUGAAACCGUGUACGUA